Molecule: long non-coding RNA, 7534 nt
Filed under: Equus caballus (horse)
Lineage: Eukaryota; Metazoa; Chordata; Mammalia; Perissodactyla; Equidae
Description: lncRNA (ENSECAG00000046784.1)
Source: RNAcentral
UCUAAUGUUGACAUGUGCAUAAUUCAUUCAACCAAUCCCUUCUCUAGUUUCCACUGAUAGACGUGUUCUUGCAGUGCCAAAGGCCUGGCGUCAGUGAGCAGGAGGAGGGUGGUGGAGAAACAAAAUGAGAAGACGAGGCUUCCGUUCCAGCAGCUCCACCCAGAGUCGCCCAUGCUGCCCACCGGAGUCUCUUCAUCUAUGAACAGGUAGAUCUCUCUGCCCUAUUUUAUCCAAGAUUUAUGAACGAAUCGCGAUAAUAGAGUUUCAAUACUAUAUCUGCACAUGUUUUGUUAAGUUGGAUGAGUAACAUGCAUGUCAUAUCAUAGAGAUCUUUUUAAUUUUUGUUACUCUUUCCAUUCAGAAUUUUAAUGACAAACUUCCCAAAGUGUUCAUCCCAGUCCAGGUGGGCUCCCAUGACAAGAUGCCAUGGACUAGGCAGCAUCAACUCCUGGAUUUAUUUUUCUUAGUUCCUGAGGUCAGAAAUCCAAGAUCCAGGGGUGGUGAGGUAGGUUUCAUCUAGAGGCCGCAUCCCUCUGUGCUCACGGGACCUCUUCUUUGUGCAGGCAGAGACGACGGAGAGCUCUCUUACAAGGGCAGUAAUCCCAUCACAGGGCCCCACCCUCAUGACCUUGUCUAACCCUAACCCUCCCAAGGCCCCCCCUCCAAACACCUUCACAUGGGGAGUUAGGGCGUCAACAUACAAAUUUGGGGCGGUGGGUGCAGGUGCACAUAUUCCAUCCAUACAAACUUGCCCAUUUAAGGACGUAUUUUCCUUGUAGAUCUUCACUGGAAAGAGGAAACUUUUUAGUAGUAAGAGGAUAAAAAUCUCUGUCAUCCCAAUUGACCCAAGGUCUUCAAAAGAACGACUCUAUUAAAGCAGGAACUCAACAUCUCCGUUUUAAUUUUCCAUAGUUCCUUACUCACACCAUCCAGCUUUAAACCCAUGUGACUCCACAAGGGUGUUCAUUCUCUUUUUUAAUUAGUUAUGUCUCCCUUAGGACAACGAAGACAUUGGUAUUAACACUUUCCAAAUGCCAUUUAUUAUCAUUCCAGAAGGACACUAUUUGCAGAACCACCCUAUAACCAGGCCAGAAUAACACAUCAUUAAUGGCUUCAGGAAAAGAAAAUGUAUCAAUUAAAGCACAAUUCUUUUAUAAAAAGAAAAUAAUUAGCCAAAAGCCCACAUGUUGGCAGAUACUGUUAUUUCACAGCAGAUUUAAUGUGGUGGCAACACAACUGAUUUUGGAAGUGAAAAUAAUCGAGGCUGCAGACACACGUGGCACUGAAAAUAGGAUUUUCUCCCGUUGGAGGGUUGAGAUGCACUGUUAACUAAAACACUGAUUUCUAUACCCAGCAACCCUGAGGCAAUCUUAACAGAGAGGAUCAGAGAAUGCUCUGUCUCCAUGGCAGCCCAGCAUCUGUGGGGCUCUGCUGUUGGUGUUAGAUGUUGUGUUGCUCGCUGAGAGGUUGCCAAGCUGUAACUGCACAACCAUGACAUAAAGCGAUUGACCUAGUACCCGUAGCUUUGAAGCUGGACAUCUAAAAUGCAGCAGCAUAGACUAAUUAAGUAUAGACUACACUGCUCCCAAAAUAGUAAGACAAUCAAUGCAGGAGAAGCAGGUCCUUCAGUUCAUGCUGUGGAGCUCGGGCUCUGAGCUGGGCACUGUGCUGGGUGCAGAGUUGGACUUGAUGUGAAGGAGAGUGGUGCACAACUGACGAUGAUGCAACUGAGAAGGCUCGGUGGAGGCUUCAUGGAAGAAACAAACGACCUGGACUUCGAAGAACAGAGAGAACUCGCCACAAAGGGAAAGUGCAGGAGAGGUACGUGAACAGCUCUAUUGAAUCGGGGUGCAGGGUGGUCAAAGGGAAGGGAGGGGUCAUCAGUUCCAAGGCAGCUAAAGCCCUGAGAAGGAUGUUGAAGGCCAGGUCGAUUCAUGGGAAGCCGGUGCUGCUUUUGAGAAGGGGACGAUACCCUCGUAAGUAGGAGAAAUACACUUUGUCUAUCGCAUCAGAUACACUCGAGACUCAGGUCGCAGGCAGGACAUUUAAGAGGUCUUUGGAAAAGUCUGGUCAGGGCUGACAGGAGCGGAGUAACGGCAUCUUCAGAGGGAACGCUGAGGAAGGCGGGCCUUGCAGGGCUUGUCGGGCCGGACUGGAGCCCUGCACGUGAAGGAGCGGGGGCAGAUGAAGGACGCUGCAGGGCCGGAGACGAGGCAGGGGCGGACAAGGACGGACACACCCGCGGCUCCCGCAGCAGCACGGUUUCUCGGCCGAGAGGCUGCGACACGGCAGGAGGGCCCUGGAGUCAGGCCCCCCGCCCCGCAGGCCCUUCCCAGCCGGCUGAGGCCCCCUUCGUGGGCGCGGAGCCCUCCUCGGGAAGAGGCUUUGACGACGCCCGUCGGCCGUCUCCGGGUUAGAAUCGUGGAACGGAAGGCAGAAGUCUGUGAAAGGCACUUGGCGCUUCAGGGCAAGAGCGUCACACAGGCGGGCACGCGCCAGGCCCCGCGCUGUGAUCCGCUGACGAGGGGGCGCGCACGAAGGCUCGGGGCCCAGCCACACGCACACCAGGACGCGCAGGCGCUGGGUGCGCACGACGGUCCGCGCGAGGACCGGAGAGGCGACCCCGCGCGGCCCUCGCGGCGGGAAAGCGGUGAGACGCACGUGCCGCGUCGAACAGGGCGCCGUCCGCAGUGGAGGCUGGAGGCCGGGGCUGUUGCGAGCGUUUUCCCUGAACGCCAGGCAUGGAAAUGGUGGCACGCGAACAAUAAGUCAGGUCGGGCCGGCAGUGGGACUGUAGUUUCCUGAUUUCUACCCUCUUCCGUUUCUGGAGAGGUCACUGGUUUUUCUUUUUUCGAUCUUCAUCAGAAAAAGUGAGCCUGAAGCCCACCCUCAGGUCAGAGCGCGGGGCUGGGGAGGAAGAAAGAGGCGCGCGCGCUCCGGGCUUCAAAGCUGGGCCUCGAUGAAGGGAAACAACGCUUAUAUUGUAUCUCACACAAUUUCAGGACUUACUGGGUUGACAGAGAAAAGCAAUUUACAUUAUAUGAGGAAGAAUUGUCUGGAAAGGAGCCCUCUGUAACAAUGACUGACAUCUAUACACUCCUUUAGCAUUUGCAGACACUCCGACGUGACUUCUCUCGGACACACGGGCUUCCCACCCUCCUCAGAACAGCCCCCGAAGUGUAGGGGCCUAGGAACGGGGCUCCAUGGACGAGCCCAGAAGAUGAACAACACCCAGCGUCCCUUUCUGAAGUGUGUCCCAGACUUCAUCUCACCUGUGCCCCUCGUGCUUCACAGGAGGAACGCGGCCGGUUUUUAUUGCUGAAGGUAGAGAUGUUGGUCUCCGUUAAGGCACGUCUGCGCACAGAGGACAAACAGCCCUGCAGGGCGUUCUGACACCCUCUCCGUUUGUAGGGAAACCAGGAAGACCACUCCUGACCAUGUCCCUAGGCCCCACGGAGCUCACCCUGGAGACUCAGCUCUUUUCUACAGGCCCCUUGGAUUCCAUUCCCAACAAAUUUCUAGGAAACAAGAAGAAUUAAGGCAAAUCUUGGUGCAACAGAGAUCAUUUAAGAGCAUAAUUAAACUAGUGUGCUUUUUUCUUUCACUUUUCUGCACUGUAUACGUGGCCUUUCCCCUAGGCAGCCAGCAAUCGUCAUUUGCCACAAGGAAGAUGAGAAUUGUCAAAAUAAAAUGCAAACUAAAGGAAGAGGCAUUAUUCAGAUUCUGACAGAAUGAGAUAUUUGCAUCUCUGCUGAGACAAUAUUUUUAAAAGCUAUGAUUGUGAGAGGAUAAAUAAAUAUGUCCUGUGAACAAGCACAUGCGUGUAUGUAUGCACACACACAUGUAUAUAUGCAUACGUUCAUUUUCUCAAUCCUGUACUCUUCUCAACAUACUAAGAAGCCCAGCCUGGAAGAGUUUAUGCAAGGUGCUGGGUAGAAGGGACUGAGGCUGUGACAAAGGAGCUGCACUGCCUCUGGGGAGGAAAGGAGGGGAGGCCUCUGAGACCCAGAAGAAGACAGUUUUAAAUAAAGAAAAGGCAGAAGUUCAAAGCCAUUGUCUUUCUUUCCAACUCCCAGGUUGGACGCUUAAGUCAGGGACGACGGAGAGUCCAGAGGAUGUGGGGCACCCACCUGACUGAGCAGAGUGGGGUCUCCUCGCUGGCCUGGCCCCCCAGCCCAGCCAGAGGGGUCCGAGCAGGUUCCUAAGUGAGCACUCAGGAAUGUGGACACAGACUCCGCAGCAUCUGGAGAUUCUGGGGUUCCCACGGAGAUCGAGCAGAGGAGGUGGGAGAAUCAGAGAAGCCAGGUUUCAGGGCAGGAGACCUCACCAUGGAGGGACCCCAGCACCCACCCUGCCAGACCCAGGCCUCCUCAACCAGCCACAGACCCAUGCUGAGCACGGUCUCGCUCAGAGAAGUGGAAGGGGAACCCAAAGGAAACUCUUUGUUUCCAAAUGUGACCACUUUUGUAAACUGCUUUUGACGUCCAUCUGGAGGAAUCCACACAGCAACACAACACUGAAGGGAACAGCCAAGACUGGAGAUUGUUGACCAACCAAGGCAAGCACAUCAACCUUUUAGAAGAAAAACACUUUUAUUCUCUUUACUUCAAAGCUUACAGUGAAGCCGACGUCUCUGUCAGAAUCCAUAUCCCUGAGGAGAAAACUCUCCGUCAUAUUAGGCAGCUGCACCAUGGAGCACAGUAAUUUCCAAGGAGCAACUAGUGGUUAGUGACAGUUAACAGAAAAGAAUAUUACAUGGCACUCAGAAUUCUAGGCUCCGCAGGCAUGUGGUUCUGAUGGCAUACAAGACAAGGUUGGACAUUGAAGGGAGGAAGCGAGACCCCGCAUAUUUCCCAGAGGAAGGAAAAGCCUUGUUUCAGGUUGGCCAGUUUGAGGGCCACAACACAAAAGCUGCAGAGGGAGUGAACAGCCAGGCAAGGGCGAUGAGACUGAGCCCUGAGAAGGCAGCACGAGCGAAGGCAGGCCGGAGGGUGUGUGUGCAUGGGUGGGGUGUGCUGGACGCCAUCAGAGCUACAUGAGACGUGGAAUAACUAGGAUGUCGUGUGGCACGUCUUCCAGCCAAUGGUGACCUUCUAACAUCAUGUUCACCUACCAUCACCAAUCCAGACAUUAUGGAAAACUUCAAGCCAGAAGUUUCAGAUGAUGUAUCUUGUUGUUGCUGAUAAUUCUGGACUGGUUUGUAUCUGAAUCACCAUCUACGCCUCAUUAACUAGGUCUACCUGCAACAGCUCAAGGCGCAGCUGAGGAAGUGUCCUCGCAGAAGAGCCCACACGGUGGUCGUCUCUGCCAUGUUGUAUUGGCUGCAGUCGGGUCCAGUGGGAACGCUGUCGUCCGAUGGGUCAACACUGCUUUGGAUGACUCAAAGGUCGAUCACAAUACUGCUGUCAAGUGCACUUGUGAUUGUGGAGCAGUCAUUUAAAUGCCUGGUCUGCUCUGUAGUUGUUACAAAAGAAGACUAUUUCCCACUUUUGUCAGAAAUGCAAAAAUGAACAUCAGGUGAGCCACAUACUUGUUGUCUAGAUUAAAAAAAAGUAAUAGGCUUACUCAUUGUUAUUCAAUACAGGAAUAAAAAAAUACUAAAAAAGUAUUGACAGGACACUCAUCUGAGCACAGGCUUGCCAAAACCUCAGACGACAUCAGGUGCCUUUGUAGACAGCGUUUCCUGUCCUGCCGAGAAAUUUAUCUGAGAAGGUAGAGCCAGACACCCAAGUAACCUGCUUGGAGGUCUCAGGUCCCCGUCAGCAGCGAGCUGUUUGUGAUAGAGCUCAGGACCCUUCGCUCUUCUCUAUGAUUCCCAACUCCUCCUUCUGCAGCUUCCCCAUUUGUGUGAACAUCGCAUCUCCUCUCCAGUCAAGGGCACACCUCCCUCUGCCUCCAUCACCAGUUUUCCACUAAACACCUCUUGUCAUCACUGCCUUCAAGCUCCAAGCCACCAUCAUCUCUUGCGUCUGUUCCCUCACUGGCCUCCUAAAACAUGUGCCCACCCCCAUCUUGUCCUCUCCUCCAACCCUGUCUCCACCCUGAAGCCAGACAAUCUUUUUAAGCAUAAACUUGAAUGUGUCAUACCUCAGCUUAACCUCCAUCUAUGGCUUCCUAGCUGUUCUUUUGAUAAAGGCAGAAAUCCUGUGUAUGGAUUACUUUGAUUUCUCGGGGAAGUCAGAUGUGACAGGUGGCACUCAUUUGGGUGCAAUGUCAGUCACCUGAGUUUGUGCUACACUGUGGCAAUAGCAACAGUGCCAGUGACUCGGAACAACAAAGAUGUACUUGUAGUUUGUGCCACAUGCCCAUCACGGGCCGGCUGAAGCUCGGUUCCAUGCUCUCUGUACUCUGAAAGUACAGCCCGACAUGGGACAUCACGGGUUUCAAGGGAUGGGAAUAGGAAAGACGAUGGACCACAAACUGACUCUUGAAGAUCCUGUUCAGAGGUGAUUCAGGCCACAUCCAACAUCCACAGAGCAGGAGAUAGAGUCUUCCCACAGCUAGAAGCCUUGCACAAAGAACGGUGGGAGAGUCACCAUGACAUACCAUGACGCACCAUGAUAGAAUCCACCACACCUUCUAAAGAACCCCCCCAAAAAGAAAUUUCACAAUUAGGUAUGAUAUUUGUUCUAUAUUUCUGUUAGAUACUCUUUGAAAAACAUUAUUUUAGAACCUAUUCUAUUUCUGACUGAAAGUUUUUAUGAUGUAUGGGUCAUUGAAUUUUAUAAAUAUUGUUUCUGCAUCUAUUUGAGAUGAUUGUAAGAAUAUUCUCCUUUAAUCUGUUUAUUAAUGUAUGUACAUGCACUUUAUAAUGUAAUGUACACUGGUAAAAUCAGUCAAUCAAUCAAUCAAUCAAUCCUGGCUCUGUUUCAUCACCUAAAAAAUAAAAGACUGAACCUUCCAAUCCAAGAUGCUCCAAGAAGGAGGAGGAAUAAAGGCUGAAUGUACAAAAUAAUAACAUGAAAUCCAGACUGAUUAUUAGCGGGCGGUCUUGGCUUGGCGAUGAAAUGGGAGGCCAUGGGAUGCCCUACGUGGCAACAGAGUUUCUUGGUCAAGAGCUACAGGCUGCAGUUCUGCCCAAGCACCAGGUCAUGGUCGGCAUGAAGAUAGAAACUCCUGGGAAAACAGCAGAAAGUACCCAGAACAUGUUGGAUCUUCCAGAUAGGUCCCUGCGGGGUUGAGGGAAGACAGCUGGCACACACCUGUCGGCACCUGUCUGCCCCUGACUGCCUUCUCUGCACCCGUUGGCACCUGUCUGCCCUCUCUGCCCCUGUCUGUCCCUGUGCCCCUGUCUGCCCUCUCUGGGAUUAGCCCCUCACACUCGUAGGUGACAGAAUGGCAGUGAAUCACCUCGAGUCCCUUCCAACAUUAAGGCUGUAUUGAACAUGCAGAUAGUAAUAGGAAUAAAAGAGACUACAUGAGCACAUAAAUGUGCUUUAUUUGGGAAAAAUCUCAAACACAUUUUACAAUUUAGUGUCUGUUUAUUUUUAUCUUAGUAAUAUAUAAGCAUGGUCAAGAAAAAAGUCAAGUGCAG